RNAcentral lists this ribosomal RNA (301 nucleotides) under uncultured bacterium. Its description in RNAcentral is "partial 16S ribosomal RNA". It matches the Rfam family "Bacterial small subunit ribosomal RNA", at positions 509 to 809 of the family's 1533-position model. The record is from RNAcentral.
CAGUCGCCGCGGUAAUACGAGGGGAGCUAGCGUUGUUCGGAAUUACUGGGCGUAAAGCGCGCGUAGGCGGCUUUUUAAGUCAGAGGUGAAAGCCCGGGGCUCAACCCCGGAAUUGCCUUUGAAACUGGAAAGCUAGAAUCUUGGAGAGGUCAGUGGAAUUCCGAGUGUAGAGGUGAAAUUCGUAGAUAUUCGGAAGAACACCAGUGGCGAAGGCGACUGACUGGACAAGUAUUGACGCUGAGGUGCGAAAGCGUGGGGAGCAAACAGGAUUAGAUACCCCCGUAGUCCCUGUCUCUUAUAA